This is a transfer RNA of Ipomoea nil (Japanese morning glory), 94 nucleotides long. It matches the Rfam family "tRNA". Rfam says of the family: Transfer RNA (tRNA) molecules are approximately 80 nucleotides in length. Their secondary structure includes four short double-helical elements and three loops (D, anti-codon, and T loops). The record is from Rfam. NCBI's taxonomy places the organism in Eukaryota, Viridiplantae, Streptophyta, Magnoliopsida, Solanales, Convolvulaceae.
CUGACCUUAGCUCAGUGGGUAGAGUGGUGGACUGUAGCUGGACUAAUCUAAAUUGGAAAUCCUUAAGUCGCUGGUUUGAUUCCGGCAGGUUGGA